RNAcentral lists this ribosomal RNA (250 nucleotides) under uncultured Lactobacillus sp. Its description in RNAcentral is "partial 16S ribosomal RNA". It matches the Rfam family "Bacterial small subunit ribosomal RNA", at positions 94 to 339 of the family's 1533-position model. Lineage: Bacteria; Bacillati; Bacillota; Bacilli; Lactobacillales; Lactobacillaceae. The record is from RNAcentral.
AGCGGCGGACGGGUGAGUAACACGUGGGCAACCUGCCCUGGAGCGGGGGAUAACAUUUGGAAACAGAUGCUAAUACCGCAUAACAAUCAAACCACAUGGUUUCGUUUCAAAGAUGGUUUCGGCUAUCACUUCAGGAUGGGCCCGCGGUGCAUUAGCUAGUUGGUAAGGUAACGGCUUGCCAAGGCAAUGAUGCAUAGCCGAGUUGAGAGACUGAUCGGCCACAAUGGAACUGAGACACGGUCCAUACUCC